ACCAGUUGGGUUUGGAACCAACCAGUUAAAACAAACCAAUGGGUUUAGAACCAUCCAGUUGAGUUUAGAACCAACCAGUUGGGUUUAGGAUGAACCAGUUGGGUUUAGAACCAUCCAGUUGAGUUUAGAACCAAUGACCAACCAGUUGAGUUUAGAACCAAUGAGUUGAGACAAACCAAUGAGUUUAGAGCCAACCAGUUGGGUUCAGAGCCAACCAGUUGGGUUUAGAGCCAACCAGUUGAGUUUAGAGCCAACCAGUUGGGUUCAGAGCCAACCAGUUGGGUUUAGAGC
Molecule: non-coding RNA, 291 nt
Organism: Sturnus vulgaris (Common starling)
Lineage: Eukaryota; Metazoa; Chordata; Aves; Passeriformes; Sturnidae
Source: RefSeq, a predicted model, not a curated record